CUCAGAUCACCAAGCAUACAUACAAACCAAAAUGCUCAAACACUCACUACAGUCAAAACAGCCAUCACCCCAGCCAUUCACCUUUCAAAUUGUGGAUGAAAUUGAUGGAGAUUUCUGUUUGGAAGAAUUAGUCUAAGUCCGACUAAUUCAUGGGGGUCUUGAACUACUUCUCAUCAACUCCCAGUCAAACGCAGUGCAAGGAUUUAUAUCUGCUGCAAAUCGGCUAUUCCACUGCGAAGCGUAUCUCAAGCUCAUUAGUUUUAUAAGAAACUAUUCUACUUCCUACUCGUCUACUCCUCUUCCUCAGGACUUUCCAAUUGUUCAACAUUUGCAGGUUUUGAGACUGCAACUGUAGUUUCCUACUCAAGUUCGUAGAGUUAAACAAGAGUAUCAAAAGCUUCAUGAAUUUUCAUUACUUAUUUAUUUGAUCUGUUUGUCAUUUGAAGAUCCAUUGGAAUUUUUGUGGCAUCUUCUACUACUAUUAGUCAUGUUAGCUCUAAUGUUUGUUCGAUCGUAGUAUUCAAUAGAAUUAUUAUGCGUUUCGAGCU
Molecule: long non-coding RNA, 548 nt
Organism: Arabidopsis lyrata subsp. lyrata
Lineage: Eukaryota; Viridiplantae; Streptophyta; Magnoliopsida; Brassicales; Brassicaceae
Exons: 2
Source: RefSeq, a predicted model, not a curated record